CUGCCAGACAGGGAAACUGCGUACGGCUCAUUACACCAGCCUUAAUUUACUUGACCUUGACAACCUACUUGGAUAACUGUGGUAAUUCUAGAGCUAAUACAUGCACCAAAGCUCCGAUCCUCGCGGAGAGGAGCGCAUUUGUUCGCCACAAAACCAAGCGCCCAUCUGGGCGUCCAGUGCUGAACCAGAACAACUCAGCUGAUCGCACGGUCUUGUACCGGCGACGUGUCUUUCAAGUGUCUGCCUUAUCAACUUUCGAUGGUAGUGUACCUGACUACCAUGGUUGUGACGGGUAACGGAGGAUAAGGGUUCGACUCCGGAGAAGGGGCCUGAGAAAUGGCCACUACGUCUAAGGAUGGCAGCAGGCGCGCAAAUUACCCACUCUCAACGCGAGGAGGUAGUGACGAGAAAUAACGAGACCGUUCUCAUACGAGGCCGGUUAUUGGAAUGGGUACAAUUUAA
RNAcentral lists this ribosomal RNA (462 nucleotides) under unidentified nematode Sourhope farm. Its description in RNAcentral is "SSU rRNA". It matches the Rfam family "Eukaryotic small subunit ribosomal RNA", at positions 70 to 528 of the family's 1831-position model. The record is from RNAcentral. Lineage: Eukaryota; Metazoa; Nematoda.